UUAUAGAAAGAUAUUAAACCCUAAAGGAUAAUAUAUAGAGAACCCAAGAGUUUAAAUCUAAACCAAUAAUUAAAUCACUUAACAUCCUUAAUCAAAACAAAUAAUUCAUUUUAAAACGUAUAUAAAACAAAGUAUACGUAAAUAGUAUAUUUACAAAUAGAAUAGUAUCUCUCAAAUUGCAACAACGAAACUCAAUUUCAUCACCAAGACACCAAGCGCAACAACGAAAGUCGAUUCCCUGAAUCCAAAUUGUGUUCCUCCCUCUGUAAUUCGAAACCCCCAAAUCAAAUCUCACCCAAAAGUAAUUAAGAGACUCUGAUUUGAAAACAAAAACAAGUAACGAGGUAGGUGUAAAGACUUUACUGGGAGAAAGAGAGAGGGAGAGGGAAAAAGAAAGAGAGAGAAAGAGAGAGGGGGAGAGAGAGAAAGAGGGAGGGAAGAUAGAAGGGAAGAGAGAGGUAGACGGAAAGAGAAAUGGAGAAAAAUAGAUAAAGGGGUAAACUUGGAAUUAAUAUACAAAAUAUAGAGGAUAUCAGUUCUUUUUCCUUUUGAUGUUAGUUUCUUAAUUAUAAACUUUUUGUUGGUUAGUUUUGCCAAUUCCCUUACUUACAACUGAUAACCGUAUAGCUCUUUUAUCAGAAAAAACUUUAUAUAUCUAAUCUCCCAAAAUAUACAAAUGUGAGAAAUAUCUGAAAAUAAAUCAAUUCUCACCAAUUAUAUAUAUUUGAUUACUUAAAAA
This 739-nucleotide small RNA is filed under the name Arabidopsis thaliana (thale cress). RNAcentral's name for it is "ATSL177870". Lineage: Eukaryota; Viridiplantae; Streptophyta; Magnoliopsida; Brassicales; Brassicaceae. The record is from RNAcentral.